CCUACGGGAGGCAGCAGUGAGGAAUAUUGGUCAAUGGACGAGAGUCUGAACCAGCCAAGUAGCGUGAAGGAUGACUGCCCUAUGGGUUGUAAACUUCUUUUAUAUGGGAAUAAAAUGUUCCACGUGUGGGAUUUUGUAUGUACCAUAUGAAUAAGGAUCGGCUAACUCCGUGCCAGCAGCCGCGGUAAUACGGAGGAUCCGAGCGUUAUCCGGAUUUAUUGGGUUUAAAGGGAGCGUAGGUGGAUUGUUAAGUCAGUUGUGAAAGUUUGCGGCUCAACCGUAAAAUUGCAGUUGAAACUGGCAGUCUUGAGUACAGUAGAGGUGGGCGGAAUUCGUGGUGUAGCGGUGAAAUGCUUAGAUAUCACGAAGAACUCCGAUUGCGAAGGCAGUUCACUGGACUGCAGCUGACACUGAGGCUCGAAAGUGUGGGUAUCAAACAGGAUUAGAUACCCCAGUAGUC
This 460-nucleotide ribosomal RNA is filed under the name uncultured bacterium. RNAcentral describes it as "partial 16S ribosomal RNA". It matches the Rfam family "Bacterial small subunit ribosomal RNA", at positions 338 to 795 of the family's 1533-position model. The record is from RNAcentral.